Molecule: ribosomal RNA, 1785 nt
Filed under: human gut metagenome
Description: bacterial LSU rRNA
Rfam family: Bacterial large subunit ribosomal RNA
Source: RNAcentral
UUGGCUUGGAAGCAGCCAUUCAUUUAAAGAGUGCGUAACAGCUCACUAGUCGAGGGACUCCGCAUGGAUAAUAAUCGGGCAUAAGCAUAUUACCGAAGCUAUGGAAUAGAACUAUUGGUAGGGGAGCAUUCCAGUCGCCGUCGAAGAUAUACCUUGAGGUAUGUUGGAGGCCCUGGAAAAGCAAAUGUAGGUAUAAGUAACGAUAAAGGGGGCGAGAAACCCCCUCGCCGUAAGACCAAGGAUUCCUGAUCAACGCUAAUCGGAUCAGGGUAAGUCGGGCCCUAAGGAUCAUCCGAAAGGAGAAGCCGAUGGAAGAAACGGUUAAUAUUCCGUUACUACGAUAAAGAGUGACGGGGAGACGGAGAAGUGACACAUCCGCCUGCUGACGGAAUAGCAGGUUAAAGAGUGUAGAUAAUGGCUGGAUAGGCAAAUCCGUUCGGCCAGUCGAACUUGACAGUACCGAGCGUCCUCGGACAAUCGGAUAGCGAUGGUAAACAGGCUUCCAAGAAAAUCCUCUAAACAUAUUUUUAUCGUACCCGUACCGCAAACGGACACACGUGGUCGAGUAGAACAUACUAAGGCGCUCGAGAGAUUCACGGUUAAGGAACUAGGCAAAUUGACCCUGUAACUUCGGGAAAAAGGGUCCCCGCUGCAAGGCGGGGCGCAGAGAAUAGGUCCAGGCAACUGUUUAACAAAAACACAGGGCUGUGCAAAAUUGAAAGAUGAAGUAUACAGCCUGACACCUGCCCGGUGCUGGAAGGUUAAGAGGAGAUGUCAUCGCAAGAGAAGCAUUGAAUUGAAGCCCCAGUAAACGGCGGCCGUAACUAUAACGGUCCUAAGGUAGCGAAAUUCCUUGUCGGGUAAGUUCCGACCUGCACGAAUGGUGUAAUGAUCUGGACGCUGUCUCAACCGUGAGCUCAGUGAAAUUGUAGUAUCGGUGAAGAUGCCGAUUACCCGCGAUGGGACGAAAAGACCCCGUGAACCUUUACUAUAGCUUAACAUUGAAUUUGGGUAAUUGAUGUGUAGGAUAGGCCGGAGGCUUUGAAGCGGGCACGCCAGUGUCCGUGGAGCCGCUGUUGAAAUACGGCCCUUUGAUUAUUUGAGUUCUAACCCGUUGUUGCGGGGACACUGUUUGGUGGGUAGUUUGACUGGGGUGGUCGCCUCCAAAAGUGUAACGGAGGCUUCUAAAGGUGCCCUCAGAACGAUUGGUAACCGUCCGUAGAGUGUAAUGGCAUAAGGGCGCUUGACUGGGAGACAGACAAGUCGAUCAGGUAGGAAACUAGAGCAUAGUGAUCCGGUGUUUCCGUAUGGAAGGGACAUCGCUCAAAGGAUAAAAGGUACUCCGGGGAUAACAGGCUGAUCCCUCCCAAGAGCUCAUAUCGACGGAGGGGUUUGGCACCUCGAUGUCGGCUCGUCACAUCCUGGGGCUGGAGAAGGUCCCAAGGGUUGGGCUGUUCGCCCAUUAAAGUGGCACGCGAGCUGGGUUCAGAACGUCGUGAGACAGUUCGGUCUCUAUCUAUCGUGGGCGUAGGAUAUUUGAGGGGCUCUGACACUAGUACGAGAGGACCGUGUUGGACAGACCACUGGUUUACCGGUUGUACCGCCAGGUGCACCGCCGGGUAUCUAAGUCUGGAUUGGAUAAGUGCUGAAAGCAUCUAAGUACGAAGCCAGCCUCAAGAUGAGAUAUCCCUAGAGGGUCGUUGUAGACUACGACGUAGAUAGGCUACAGGUGUAAGGGCAGCAAUGUCGAAGCCGAGUAGUACUAAUAGCCCGAGACUUUCGAUC